GGUUCCAUAGUGCAGUGGUUAGCACGGCCGCUUUACACGCAGGAGGUCCUGGGUUCACACCCGAGUGGAGCCA
This 73-nucleotide transfer RNA is filed under the name Pteropus alecto (black flying fox). It matches the Rfam family "tRNA". Rfam says of the family: Transfer RNA (tRNA) molecules are approximately 80 nucleotides in length. Their secondary structure includes four short double-helical elements and three loops (D, anti-codon, and T loops). The record is from Rfam by way of RNAcentral. Lineage: Eukaryota; Metazoa; Chordata; Mammalia; Chiroptera; Pteropodidae. RNAcentral also lists the same sequence under 1 other name.